CAGUAGCCGCGGGAAUACGGAGGGGGCUAGCGUUGUUCGGAAUUACUGGGCGUAAAGCGCACGUAGGCGGCUUUGUAAGUCAGAGGUGAAAGCCUGGAGCUCAACUCCAGAAUUGCCUUUGAGACUGCAUCGCUUGAACGUCGGAGAGGUGAGUGGAAUUCCGAGUGUAGAGGUGAAAUUCGUAGAUAUUCGGAAGAACACCAGUGGCGAAGGCGGCUCACUGGACGACUGUUGACGCUGAGGUGCGAAAGCGUGGGGAGCAAACAGGAUUAGAUACCCCCGUAGUCCCUGUCUCUUAUAC
Molecule: ribosomal RNA, 301 nt
Filed under: uncultured bacterium
Lineage: Bacteria
Description: partial 16S ribosomal RNA
Rfam family: Bacterial small subunit ribosomal RNA
Source: RNAcentral